RNAcentral lists this ribosomal RNA (450 nucleotides) under uncultured bacterium. RNAcentral describes it as "partial 16S ribosomal RNA". It matches the Rfam family "Bacterial small subunit ribosomal RNA", at positions 354 to 796 of the family's 1533-position model. The record is from RNAcentral.
GUGGGGAAUUUUGGACAAUGGGCGAAAGCCUGAUCCAGCAAUGCCGCGUGUGUGAAGAAGGCCUUCGGGUUGUAAAGCACUUUUGGCAGGGAAGAAACAGUGCGUGCUAAUACCAUGCGCGAAUGACGGUACCUGCAGAAUAAGCACCGGCUAACUACGUGCCAGCAGCCGCGGUAAUACGUAGGGUGCAAGCGUUAAUCGGAAUUACUGGGCGUAAAGCGUGCGCAGGCGGCUUUGUAAGACGGAUGUGAAAGCCCCGGGCUCAACCUGGGAAGUGCAUUCGUGACUGCAAGGCUAGAGUGGGUCAGAGGGAGGUGGAAUUCCGCGUGUAGCAGUGAAAUGCGUAGAGAUGCGGAGGAACACCGAUGGCGAAGGCAGCCUCCUGGGAUAACACUGACGCUCAGGCACGAAAGCGUGGGGAGCAAACAGGAUUAGAAACCCGUGUAGUCC